Molecule: ribosomal RNA, 467 nt
Filed under: uncultured bacterium
Lineage: Bacteria
Description: bacterial SSU rRNA
Rfam family: Bacterial small subunit ribosomal RNA
Source: RNAcentral
AUUGAACGCUGGCGGAAUGCUUUACACAUGCAAGUCGAACGGCAGCACGGGGCAACCUGGUGGCGAGUGGCGAACGGGUGAGUAAUACAUCGGAACGUGCCCAAUCGUGGGGGAUAACGUAGCGAAAGUUACGCUAAUACCGCAUACGAUCUACGGAUGAAAGCGGGGGAUCGCAAGACCUCGCGCGAAUGGAGCGGCCGAUGUCAGAUUAGGUAGUUGGUGGGGUAAAGGCUCACCAAGCCAACGAUCUGUAGCUGGUCUGAGAGGACGACCAGCCACACUGGAACUGAGACACGGUCCAGACUCCUACGGGAGGCGGCAGUGGGGAAUUUUGGACAAUGGGCGCAAGCCUGAUCCAGCCAUUCCGCGUGCAGGAUGAAGGCCUUCGGGUUGUAAACUGCUUUUGUACGGUAACGAAACGGACGAGCUCUAAUACAGUUUGCUAAUGACGGUACCGUAAGAAUAAG